RNAcentral lists this ribosomal RNA (1478 nucleotides) under Salmonella enterica subsp. enterica serovar Cerro. Its description in RNAcentral is "partial 23S ribosomal RNA". It matches the Rfam family "Bacterial large subunit ribosomal RNA", at positions 711 to 2169 of the family's 2925-position model. The record is from RNAcentral. Lineage: Bacteria; Pseudomonadati; Pseudomonadota; Gammaproteobacteria; Enterobacterales; Enterobacteriaceae.
AGACCCGAAACCCGGUGAUCUAGCCAUGGGCAGGUUGAAGGUUGGGUAACACUAACUGGAGGACCGAACCGACUAAUGUUGAAAAAUUAGCGGAUGACCUGUGGCUGGGGGUGAAAGGCCAAUCAAACCGGGAGAUAGCUGGUUCUCCCCGAAAGCUAUUUAGGUAGCGCCUCGUGAAUUCAUCUCCGGGGGUAGAGCACUGUUUCGGCUAGGGGGCCAUCCCGGCUUACCAACCCGAUGCAAACUGCGAAUACCGGAGAAUGUUAUCACGGGAGACACACGGCGGGUGCUAACGUCCGUCGUGAAGAGGGAAACAACCCAGACCGCCAGCUAAGGUCCCAAAGUCAUGGUUAAGUGGGAAACGAUGUGGGAAGGCCCAGACAGCCAGGAUGUUGGCUUAGAAGCAGCCAUCAUUUAAAGAAAGCGUAAUAGCUCACUGGUCGAGUCGGCCUGCGCGGAAGAUGUAACGGGGCUAAACCAUGCACCGAAGCUGCGGCAGCGACACUCAGGUGUUGUUGGGUAGGGGAGCGUUCUGUAAGCCUGUGAAGGUGGCCUGUGAGGGUUGCUGGAGGUAUCAGAAGUGCGAAUGCUGACAUAAGUAACGAUAAAGCGGGUGAAAAGCCCGCUCGCCGGAAGACCAAGGGUUCCUGUCCAACGUUAAUCGGGGCAGGGUGAGUCGACCCCUAAGGCGAGGCCGAAAGGCGUAGUCGAUGGGAAACGGGUUAAUAUUCCCGUACUUGGUGUUACUGCGAAGGGGGGACGGAGAAGGCUAUGUUGGCCGGGCGACGGUUGUCCCGGUUUAAGCGUGUAGGUGUGUGUUCCAGGUAAAUCCGGUUCACUUUAACACUGAGGCGUGACGACGAGGCACUACGGUGCUGAAGCAACAAAUGCCCUGCUUCCAGGAAAAGCCUCUAAGCAUCAGGUAACAUCAAAUCGUACCCCAAACCGACACAGGUGGUCAGGUAGAGAAUACCAAGGCGCUUGAGAGAACUCGGGUGAAGGAACUAGGCAAAAUGGUGCCGUAACUUCGGGAGAAGGCACGCUGACACGUAGGUGAAGUGAUUUACUCAUGGAGCUGAAGUCAGUCGAAGAUACCAGCUGGCUGCAACUGUUUAUUAAAAACACAGCACUGUGCAAACACGAAAGUGGACGUAUACGGUGUGACGCCUGCCCGGUGCCGGAAGGUUAAUUGAUGGGGUCAGCGCAAGCGAAGCUCCUGAUCGAAGCCCCGGUAAACGGCGGCCGUAACUAUAACGGUCCUAAGGUAGCGAAAUUCCUUGUCGGGUAAGUUCCGACCUGCACGAAUGGCGUAAUGAUGGCCAGGCUGUCUCCACCCGAGACUCAGUGAAAUUGAACUCGCUGUGAAGAUGCAGUGUACCCGCGGCAAGACGGAAAGACCCCGUGAACCUUUACUAUAGCUUGACACUGAACAUUGAGCCUUGAUGUGUAGGAUAGGUGGGAGGCUUUGAAGUGUGGAC